RNAcentral lists this ribosomal RNA (536 nucleotides) under Trigonopterus sp. 736 AR-2022a. RNAcentral describes it as "partial large subunit ribosomal RNA". It matches the Rfam family "Bacterial large subunit ribosomal RNA", at positions 1860 to 2625 of the family's 2925-position model. Lineage: Eukaryota; Metazoa; Arthropoda; Insecta; Coleoptera; Curculionidae. The record is from RNAcentral.
GGCCUGUUGAUUAUAAUUUAAGGUUUAACCUGCCCAAUGAGUAAUUGAAUGGCUGCGGUAUUUUGACUGUACAAAGGUAGCAUAAUCAUUAGUUUUUUAAUUGAAAGCUUGUAUGAAGGGUUUAAUGAGAAAUAUACUGUCUCUAUAAAAAUUGAUUAGAAUUUUAUUUUUAAGUUAAAAAGCUUAAAUGCAAAUGGAAGACGAGAAGACCCUAUAGAGUUUAAUAUUUUAAAAUAUAAUUUUAUUUUAAGAAUAAGUGAAUUUUUUAUAUUUUAAAGUAUUUUAUUGGGGUGAUAGAAAAAUUAAACUAACUUUUUUUUACACUUACAUUUAUUUAUGAUUUUUUGAUCCUGAAUUUCAGAGUUUAAGAUUAAAUUACCUUAGGGAUAACAGCGUUAUUUUUUCUAGAGUUCUUAUCGAAUGAAAAGAUUGCGACCUCGAUGUUGGAUUAAAAUUAAUUACUGGUGUAGGUGCUAGUGGAUAUGGUCUGUUCGACCUUUAAAAUUUUACAUGAUCUGAGUUUAAACCGGUGUAAA